AUAUAUCUGACACGACGUACUAUACUCGUAUGGUAGACAACGUCAUCGUAUUUUCAUUUAGUACCUCGACGACGUCAAUAAGAACGAACGUUCGUACGUUUUACGCAAUACCGUAUAUUGUUUCAACAAACCUUUAUACGCAUAGGGAUGUAGAAAAGUGAUACCGAAUUGUGCUACCUGUCGUCAUCUUCGUCGUCGUCAGCAUCACAUAACGCCACAUCUCAAUCUUUUGGCUUUCACACUUCAUCAUUAUCGAGUCAAGCUCAUCCAGCAAUAAUUCUAACCACAAAAAUCAUCUCAAAUCGAACUUUCUUGUCAGUUUAGCUCAGUUUGGAACAUUUUUACAUGGGAAUAUCAUCAUCCCAACAUCGUUUUGGCUGCAAACGUUGCUGUGGCGCGCAAUUCCGCAGCAUUUGGUCUCAGCGUGAUCACGAGAAAAACUGCAAAUCUUCGCCCGGCGAUGUAUUCAGGUGUCAGAAGUGCACUCAAACUUUUCGCAGCUCUUGUGAUCUCAUGACUCAUAAUGCAUAUUGCCCAUGCCGAGCUUGCAAAUGAACGGGUACGUAUGCCACACGUAUGCUGGUCUGCUGACGGAUACAAAAUGGCUGCUCGCAAGGAUCAUCUCUUUUUGGCAACAAGAGCGCGUGAAAAGAACACACGCAUCGUUGGCAAAAGCCCUUCGAUUCGAAUUUAAUCAAAUUACCGCCGCUUUAACCAUGUUUGAAAUUUAAUUCGCCUCUUUCUAGUAUGUAGAAACUCUCUCGCUCUCUUGCUCUUUUUUUUCCUCGUGCCCUUUCUCUGCACUGUGUGAAUUUUAAUAAACGUUAUAAAACGCA
Planococcus citri (citrus mealybug) is the source of this 836-nucleotide long non-coding RNA. RefSeq lists it as uncharacterized. NCBI's taxonomy places the organism in Eukaryota, Metazoa, Arthropoda, Insecta, Hemiptera, Pseudococcidae. The record is from RefSeq and is a predicted model, not a curated record. The transcript is spliced from 3 exons.